GAAGGCUGUUGGUCCUAAAACUGGCCCUGAACCUCCUCUUGAAGAAGGCUGUUGGUCCUACUGAUUGUUUGUUUUCAGCCUUGUUUAUUGUUUACUAAUAUUGAUUCAGAGUUAUUAUGAAGUGUCUCAUAUCUGGAUAACCUGGUCUAGUCCAAUGAGGUUAUCCAGAUAUGAUUAUCCAGACCACAUUAGAUAAUACAAUGACUGUGUCCCAGAGGGCGGCCUUUACCCUAUGGGCCCUGGUUAACAGUAGUGUCCCCUUUACCCUAUGGGCCCUGGUCAACAGUAGUGUCCUCUUUAUCCUAUGGGCCCUGGUUAACAGUAGUGUCCCCUUCACCCUAUGGGCCCUGGUUAACAGUAGUGUCCCCUUCACCCUAUGGGCCCUGGUCAACAGUAGUGUUGAGGGUAAAGGGUGCACUACUGUUGACCAGGGCCCAUAGUGGUGUCCCCUUUACCUUAUGGGCCCCGGUCAAUAGUAGUGCAUGACAGAGGGGAUAGGAUUCAAUUUGGGACACUGGCCUGUUGGUCAUGUAUGUGCCUCCUUUAGUAAAUGCUAAAGUUAAAAAACGUCAUAUUGUACAAGAACAACAAUUCAUGUUGAUUGUAAGUGUGUUUCUUCUGCUACCUGAGCUGUGUUUUGACUGUGAUGAUGAUGGUGUGUUGUCAGGUUGUUUUUCUAUUGUGUUUACGUCCACUGUGUCCCUACUACAGUACAUGGCUCCUGUUAUAGCUGCUAGCUGGUAGCAUUGAAUAGGGAAGUCGUUCUGUGUCUCUGUAACAAAUGCCUCCCUAUUAACUGCACUACUUUGGACCAGGGCCCUAUGGGUCAUGGUCAAAAGUAGUGCACUAUGUAGGGAAUAAGGUGCAUUUUGGGAUGCAUCCUCGAUCUGUCCUGUUCCACACCACUAAUAGCUGAGCUGAACUGGUGUCCAGAUGUCACUCAGAGGCCUGUUGGGAUGCAUCCUCAAUCUGUCCUGCUCCACAGAGGUCAGGGGCCUGUAUCCUCAAUCUGUCCUGCUCCACAGAGGUCAGGGGCCUGUAUCCUCAAUCUGUCCUGCUCCACAGAGGUCAGGGGCCUGUAUCCUCAAUCUGUCCUGCUCCACAGAGGUCAGGGGCCUGUUGGGAUGCAUCCUCAAUCUGUCCUGCUCCACAGAGGUCAGGGGCCUGUUGGGAUGCAUCCUCAAUCUGUCCUGCUCCACAGAGGUCAGAGGUCAGGGGCCUGUUGGGAUCCAUUCCAAUAGAAGUCGGUCAGUUCAGGAAAUAAACUGAAAUUCCAAUUCAAUAAUUACAAUUAUUUCUCAAUAAACUGAAAAUGAGAAGCUAUUUAUUUCAGAAAGGUUUUUCCGUUUUCAUUAGGAAUCAGAUGGUUUUGGAGUCGGGGGCGAGUUUUCAGAAAGGUAUUUUCUCUGUUGAUGCUGUCAUCUAGAUGAUCUGCUGUGUCCAGUUUAAAUGAAUCCAUGUUACAGUGUCGACGGACCACCGAGACACCACCUAUCCUAAUUAGAUAUCUAGCAUGCAC
This is a long non-coding RNA of Oncorhynchus tshawytscha (Chinook salmon), 1519 nucleotides long. The record is from Ensembl. NCBI's taxonomy places the organism in Eukaryota, Metazoa, Chordata, Actinopteri, Salmoniformes, Salmonidae.